Molecule: RNA transcript, 1177 nt
Organism: Erpetoichthys calabaricus (reedfish)
Lineage: Eukaryota; Metazoa; Chordata; Cladistia; Polypteriformes; Polypteridae
Gene: nopchap1
Gene name: NOP protein chaperone 1
Exons: 2
Source: RefSeq, a predicted model, not a curated record
UGAUGACAGCUCGGAACGAAUAAUUGAAAUGGAUGUGGCAUUAGUGGAACUAAGUGAUUCAGAAUGUGAUGAUACAGAAGACUCUUCGUCAGAAGAUGAAAGCUCAGAACUAGACAGUGAGGAGGAGGGCAACCUCCGAAUCCCAGGAAAUCAGAAAAAGAAGGCAAAAAUUGAGGUGAUGGACAAUGUAAAUGGAUAAACUACUUUUGUGAAGUUCACUGUUGACAUUUAAAAUAUAACUAAUGUACACAGAAUAAGGAGCCAUUGUUUACACUGAAGACAUAGGUGACAUGUAUUUCUUUUUCUUGAGCAUUUUGUUGCACCUGUUAAUAUGUUUAUGCAUUUGGCUGCUUUGAACUACACUGUAAUAUUUUACCAGUACUAUUAUCUGUGGAAAGUUGUUGACCAGUGAGCCCAAUCACGAGAGUUUUGUCACAGAAAUAAUGUCUCCACUUUGCACUUGUGGAUCCCGAGGCCUUGUUCAUCAUAUGUGUAAUUCACCCACUCAUUAAAAGGCACAUGGCUUACACUGGAACCAAGGUUGGUGUCAUCUCUGUGAUGAUUCGGUCUGUCUUAAAGGUUUUCUGCUGUUGGGUGUGGACCUAACAGGACCUUACAAACAAGUAGAGACCUCAAUUAAAUACAUGUGACUACUUGUGGUUUGGUAUCGCUUAGUUUGUAGAGUUGGCCCACUGUAGUACUUCUGUUAAAGGCCUUCCUUGAUAAAUCAUUUUUAUUAAAAACAGAGCAAAUGUUGCCUUCUUAAGCCUGGAGCCUGCAGCAGUUUUAGAAAGUCAUUUCAAAUAAUGAUGUAAAUGUAUCCUUAUUUGUCACGUAACAAUUUCCUUGCUAAAACUAAUCUCAUUUUAUUUUACAUCAGCUCUAGCUUUACUUUCUAAAAAUGUAAUUGCUUUUUCUAUCCCUUACUUACACAUUAGGAAAUUAGGUAUAUUUUUGGAUGUUACAGCCUUUGUUACCUGUAAGAUGUCAACCAAAAUUUUUAUGAAAUACCACAAAACAGAAAAAACGAAUUAUAAACACAGAUUUCUACAUGGGGAGUCUUCUCUGUAUAUAUACAAGUUCAGAAAAAAACACAAGUUUAUUUUAUUAUACAACAACAAAGGACAAAAUAUAUACCUUUGUAAAGUGUUAAUAAAAGUUGAACAUUUUUCACAUA